CAGAACUUACGUGGGCUCCCACUUAAAGGCGAAGUUGCAGUUGCGGGGGGAAAGAAAAACAAAAAAUAUAUAUAUAUGAUAGGCAGUUCAGAGAGCAGAUCUCAAAGAGUUCUUAAGUCAAGUUUGGUUUGAUUUCUUUGAAACUACUGAUAUGUUUUUUAAUAAUACCCCAUUGUACUCUCAUUUUAAUAAAUGCAGAUCAUAUGACCCCAUUAAACCACAGCUUUUUUCUCAGAUGAAAGGAUUUUUUUUCAAAUUCUUGUGCUAUAAAAAAAUUUAAAUCUGUAGCAAAUACUUAUAAAAUUAAGAUUCAAGUAGGCUUUUAAAAGCACUUGGAUGUUGUUAGCUUACAAAAAUAUGCCCAGGCUUCCUCCUAGCUGCUAGAAUUUUUUCUUUCUCACAAUGGCUCUGGCUCAUAAUGCGGCCAUCAGAAUCAUGGUUCCUGGUUUUAUCUUUCCAUAGCCCUUAGUCCUUGUUCUGCUAUGAUUGAGUUGACUCUCCUAGUGACUCUCUAGUCUGAACCCUUCUUAGUAACUGUGAAAACUGAAGUUAGAAGGGAGAGUAAUAGGGUGGUUUUUAUUAUGUAACUAACACUUAUUACGGGUUAAUUAUUCCAGAACAACAAACAAAAAAACAAGUGUACUUAACAACACACAACAACACAAAAUAGCAGGUGCAAAUUAUUGAAUGUGUCGGUGGCUUUGUGUU
Molecule: long non-coding RNA, 708 nt
Filed under: Bos taurus (domestic cattle)
Lineage: Eukaryota; Metazoa; Chordata; Mammalia; Artiodactyla; Bovidae
Description: long non-coding RNA NONBTAT020488
Source: RNAcentral